This 253-nucleotide ribosomal RNA is filed under the name uncultured bacterium. RNAcentral's name for it is "partial 16S ribosomal RNA". It matches the Rfam family "Bacterial small subunit ribosomal RNA", at positions 524 to 776 of the family's 1533-position model. The record is from RNAcentral.
UACAGAGGAUGCAAGCGUUAUCCGGAAUGAUUGGGCGUAAAGCGUCUGUAGGUGGCUUUUUAAGUCCGCCGUCAAAUCCCAGGGCUCAACCCUGGGAUGCCGGUGGAUACUGUCGAGCUCGAGUCCGGAAGGGGCGAGUGGAAUUCCUGGUGUAGCGGUGAAAUGCGCAGAUAUCUGGAGGAAUACCGGUGGCGAAGGCGGCAUCCUGGACCGGCAUUGACGCUGAGGAGCGAAAGCCAGGGGAGCAAACGGG